UGGGGUGUAGGUCAGUGGUAGAACUUUUGCCUACCAUGCACAAGGCCCUGGGUUCAAUUUUUGGCACCACAA
RNAcentral lists this transfer RNA (72 nucleotides) under Marmota marmota marmota (Alpine marmot). It matches the Rfam family "tRNA". From Rfam's summary of the family: Transfer RNA (tRNA) molecules are approximately 80 nucleotides in length. Their secondary structure includes four short double-helical elements and three loops (D, anti-codon, and T loops). Further hydrogen bonds mediate the characteristic L-shaped molecular structure. tRNAs have two regions of fundamental functional importance: the anti-codon, which is responsible for specific mRNA codon recognition, and the 3' end, to which the tRNAs corresponding amino acid is attached (by aminoacyl-tRNA synthetases). tRNAs cope with the degeneracy of the genetic code in two manners: having more than one tRNA (with a specific anti-codon) for a particular amino acid; and 'wobble' base-pairing, i.e. permitting non-standard base-pairing at the 3rd anti-codon position. The record is from Rfam by way of RNAcentral. RNAcentral also lists the same sequence under 2 other names. Lineage: Eukaryota; Metazoa; Chordata; Mammalia; Rodentia; Sciuridae.